This 468-nucleotide ribosomal RNA is filed under the name uncultured bacterium. Its description in RNAcentral is "partial 16S ribosomal RNA". It matches the Rfam family "Bacterial small subunit ribosomal RNA", at positions 28 to 507 of the family's 1533-position model. The record is from RNAcentral.
GACGAACGCUGGCGGCGUGCUUAACACAUGCAAGUCGAACGGAAAGGCCCUGCUUUUGUGGGGUGCUCGAGUGGCGAACGGGUGAGUAACGCGUGAGUAACCUGCCCUUGACUUUGGGAUAACUUCAGGAAACUGGGGCUAAUACCGGAUAGGAGCUCCUGCUGCAUGGUGGGGGUUGGAAAGUUUCGGCGGUUGGGGAUGGACUCGCGGCUUAUCAGCUUGUUGGUGGGGUAGUGGCUUACCAAGGCUUUGACGGGUAGCCGGCCUGAGAGGGUGACCGGUCACAUUGGGACUGAGAUACGGCCCAGACUCCUACGGGAGGCAGCAGUGGGGAAUAUUGCACAAUGGGCGGAAGCCUGAUGCAGCAACGCCGCGUGCGGGAUGACGGCCUUCGGGUUGUAAACCGCUUUCGCCUGUGACGAAGCGUGAGUGACGGUAAUGGGUAAAGAAGCACCGGCUAACUACGUG